This 450-nucleotide ribosomal RNA is filed under the name Triticum aestivum (bread wheat). RNAcentral's name for it is "partial small subunit ribosomal RNA". Lineage: Eukaryota; Viridiplantae; Streptophyta; Magnoliopsida; Poales; Poaceae. The record is from RNAcentral.
AUGAGGGGCCCGCCCUCUACGCGCGUGCCAUCACCGUCACCACCAACGCCGGGGGCCACGGCCACGAAUCGCCAUCGCCGGGAGGAGCGUCGGCCGCUGAGACGGCCGUCCAUGUCGCUGUUGCCAUCGUCCUCGCCCCGACAUAUCGUCUCUCCGACGCGGACUCCUCCUUCGACCACAACGCCGGCAAGUGGAACGGAAUCUUCUAGGCUGUAUAUCAAGCAGGCUUCGUUCGGGAUAACAUUUACAGACGAAGAUGAUCCCGAGCCAGAGUGGGCAGCACAAGAUCAAAGAAACCAACAUGUUCACCGUAGUGCACAGAUAGGGUUCUUUCCUGAACAGAGGGCAUUUGUGUUGAGAUAUCAGACAGCUAGGAUGCUGGAGACUGUCCUUCGAGCCAGUGAGCUUGGAGAAGAUGAUACGGGCGAAGAAUCCCCCAAGCUAUUCUGA